UCGCACCGUCAGUUUCUUCCGCCGCGCCUGAAAGGCGUUCAGUGUCGAGCCGAAGAAACGCGCGCUUCUUCUA
Non-coding RNA from Apis mellifera (honey bee), 73 nucleotides. NCBI's taxonomy places the organism in Eukaryota, Metazoa, Arthropoda, Insecta, Hymenoptera, Apidae. The record is from RefSeq and is marked provisional.